UCCAUCUCCGAAGUUUGAAAUAAAAGAGGAAGAGCGUGUUUUUGGCGCCUUGUAAAUUAGCUCAGACUCCUUCUCUGCGGUUCUUGAAUCCAUUCUUUCACUCUCUUCCCAUGGCUGCUCCAUCCGAAUCAUCUCUCAUUUCGAAGCUUCAGUCCUCCGAUUCCUCCGCAUCCACGCCCUAGUCUCCGAUUACCUCCGUCCCCUAGCAGAUCUCAAAGCGACAAAGAAAUCCAAACCCGACCCAACCCUAAUUCGCUCCCUCGCCAAACGCUUUCUUUCCUUCCUCAACUCUUCUCUAUCCAUCCUCCCCAAACGCCUCCCGGAGCUUUCCAAGUCCAACGACGCCGUUUUGCUACUCGAACUGCUCCGCGUUUACAGGCUCUGCCUCGAUUGCUUGGACACCGUCGCUUUUCAGUUGGCUUCCAAGCCAUUCUCCGUCGAAUUCCAGAGACUUCGCUUCAUGCACUGUCUCGAGUCCUGCGCACUCUUCGCCGAAGCCGACGUCGAGGGUUUGGGAGUUCUUGAGAGGCUUCGACAGCCGAAGAGGAAGGGCAAGCUUCUCCCUGAAAUAGACAAGGGCGGCGGAGGCAGUAAAGACUUAUGUUCGUUGAUAGUUGACAUUGCCGUGAGCCUCGUGAGGUGUGCAUCAGCGGGUUUGGCUAAAGAAGAUGGCGAUUUCAAGAAGGUGCUUCAGUUGGUGGAGGAAGUAACCCCUUGGCUCAAGAUUCGGCAUAUAAGAAGUUUGGUAACGUAGAUGGGUAUAGCAUAUACAAGAAAGAACAAGUCUAUGGGAACUUACCGGCAUGGUUCAAAACAGCCCUUCUCUUAGAGUUUCCAUUCUACAGUCGUAAUCUUCCACAAGAAGAAAACUGGUGAGAUUGGUGGUCUGAAUGCAAUUUUAUACUCUGAACAUGAUUUGUCCAUCCCUGUUCGUGUGCUCCCACCCUCAUUGGCAUGACGUCUCAUGGCUUCUUAGGGCAAAAAAUUCUAUCAAUUACAGCGGCGGUGAUUUAUUAUUGGUCUUAUGUUGUUCUUAUGUUUAUUUGUUUCGAACCAAUAAUUGUCUAACCUUAUAUGAGUAAUGUUGUUAUGCUUAGGUGGUUGGUUAUCGAUAAUGACCCCUAAUGAAAGACUAGCGCAUUUGUCCAUUCUCAGUCUCCGUAUAUUGAGAUGAUUGACAAUUUCCUUAGCUUGGUGUCUUAAAUUCAACAUUACAAGUGGGGUUGAUCGGUUCAAGAGACCGUUUGCACAUCUUGAGGAGCAUUAUGGGAACAGUGAACGAAGCACUCCAUUGCAUUGCAGAGACAACAUGUCUCCUUACCUAG
Molecule: long non-coding RNA, 1325 nt
Organism: Vigna unguiculata (cowpea)
Lineage: Eukaryota; Viridiplantae; Streptophyta; Magnoliopsida; Fabales; Fabaceae
Source: RefSeq, a predicted model, not a curated record